GCUCGGUGACAUCACUUCCGGGGCGGAGACCUAAGAAGCGGUACAAACAAAACAAGGAGCCAAAGACCCACGGCGCGACUGGCUGUGGGUAGCCAGACCCAGGACUAGGGCUGCCUGCGUGGCGGCCGAGAACAGCGGGCCUUGGGCUAACAUUCUCUGGAUGGCACCUCUGUCUCCUGCCAGGAAACACGCCCUCUGCUUCCUGCCUGGAUCUCUCUCACCACUGUUCCUGCUCUAGGGACACUUACCCAUGUUCUCUUACUCCUCUAGAACCCUCCACUGACCCCUUUGGUCUGGGUGUAAGUUUGGUCCCUGAAUCCCCAGCAGGGUCUGGCUUCCAGACUGCAGAAUUUGCCAUGGGGACUCCUCAUGACAGCCAAGGUCUGUGGGGCAGGCAUCAUGCCCAGUAGUUUCUGUUGCCCUGUCUACAGCCUCAGACAGCACUUUCAUUAGCACCAAUUGGAGGCUGGUACCUCAGAGUCCCACAAGAACCUGCUGAGAGCAGCACUCGCUGUCUUCCAGUGUCACGGCAUCCGUGGGGUUUGAGGGAUGUCAGGACCCUGGAGAGAUGGCCGGGGCAGCCUCAGCAAGGACAGCCACAUGCAGCUAGAGAGCAGUCAUCUAGGGGUAAGGGUUGCUCAGCCUCACCGGAGGCAAAGGCCAGAAGCCCGGUCUUCUCUGUCCCAUGCAGUGACAGAUGAUGCUCUGCAGUGCACCAGGCAGUGGAGUGCUAUCUGUCAGCUAUGUUUUCAGUCUAGGGCUUUGAAACUAGGUAACAGUUUUGUUGCCCUCAUCUCAGACCUAUCAGUGUGUGUUGCUGAAGGCUGCUGUUGAAGCACUGGUAAACAGCCUCUGCUCCUGCUGGUCAGAAAGUUCUGCUACGAUGGGUUUGUUGCUGUUUUCUUUUUUCUUUUUUUUUUUUUUUCUUUUUUUCAGUUUUGUGAGACAGGCAGGGCUUUCCUCAGGGUAGCGCUCAGGGUGGCCUGGAUCUAGCUUCCCACACAGCGGCUAUGUGCUGGGAUCGCAGGCACUUCACUGAUUUACAGUGUCGCCUUGUGCUGCAGGGCUUCUUGUGCUUUGGGUGCACGGGCCUCGAGUGUGAGAAGAAGCUGGCAAGGCGGGAAGCCUCACGAGCACUUGGUGGCGUGCAUGUGUGGAGGCCAGGGACCUUUGCUGCACUUGGAAAGGGGACCCAAGUCAGAAAGUGAACAAUUUCAGUCUCGGUGUCUAUUCAGACCUGGGUAGAGUCACAGUUGCUACAUGCUCAAUUACCAGCACUGGAGUUCUCUAAAAUUCAGCUUAAACAUCUUUUCUUUAUUUUCCAAAAGGGAUCUUUUAGGUUGUCAUAUUUGUUUGUUUGUUCGUUUGUUUGUUUAUUGAGCUGAUCACACCAUGUAGCCCUGGCUCACCUUGCACUCACAGAGACCCAGUUGCUCAGGCCCCACAUGCUGGGAUUAAAGCCUGGCCCAGCAAGCCCAGCACAUCCUCAUCUUUCUAGAGCAUAAGCUUGGCACCCAGCUCCCUUUAGGAUGUUUUGAGAAUACACUUCUGUAGGAGAGGCACUUACAGUGCUCGCCCAGGCUCCAAACCCAGAACUCUGACGGAGCAAAACUUAAUUCUCUGGGGCCAGCAAAAAGGGGAGGAAAACACACACACAUACACACACACACACACACACACACACAAACACACACACUUGUGGAUGAAGCAAGGCUCCAACAACUUUAUUUUUCCCCUUACAGCUUAUACAUCCCAGCAAAAUCCUACAAGCAAUAUAAAAAUUACAAUGUGGUUACAUUCUA
Molecule: long non-coding RNA, 1802 nt
Organism: Mus musculus (house mouse)
Lineage: Eukaryota; Metazoa; Chordata; Mammalia; Rodentia; Muridae
Product: predicted gene, 31201
Exons: 2
Source: RefSeq, a predicted model, not a curated record